GAAAUGCGAUAAGUAAUGUGAAUUGCAGAAUAUGCGAGUCAUCGAAUCCUUGAACGCAAAUGGCGCCCAUUGUUCUCCAAUGGGCACACCUGUUUGAGGGUCGUUUUCUUUAUCUCAAACCCGACCGGGUUGCUUACACAGCCUGGCUCAAUGGUGUUUGGACGUUGAGCAUUCGAUUGGGGCUCAUUUUCCCCGAUCGAUUGCUUGAAAUGCAGACAAAAAAAACGGGUGGCGCCGUUUGGCUCAACCUGCACAGUUGGGAAGGAAUAUUCUCCACCGGCAAGAGUUGAGUGUAAACGUGCAGCCCGACCGUUUUUACCCCAAGGAAAGGAAACCCAAUCUCACAAAACCGACCUCAAAUCAGGUGAGGUAACCCGCUGAACUUAA
This 387-nucleotide unclassified non-coding RNA is filed under the name uncultured fungus. RNAcentral describes it as "sequence contains ITS1". The stretch from base 1 to 103 matches the Rfam family "5.8S ribosomal RNA", at positions 50 to 154 of the family's 154-position model. Lineage: Eukaryota; Fungi. The record is from RNAcentral.